AUAAAUAUACACUUAUACCCCAAUGGUAAAUUAAUUUAAACAUUAGGGUUUAGAGUUAAGGGGUGGGGUUUCGGAUUUAGGGUUUAUGGUUUAGGAUUUAGGGUUUACGGUUUAGAGUUUAGGGGUGGGGUUUAGGGUUUAGGGUUUAGAGUUAAGGGGUGGGGUUUAGGAUUUAGGGUUUAGGAUUUAGGGUUUAGGGUUUAGGGGUUAGAGUUUAGGGGUGGGUUUAGGGUUUAGGGUUUAGAGUUAAGGGAUGGGGUUUAGGAUUUAGGAUUUAAGGUUUAGAGUUUAGAGUUUAGGAUUUAGAGUUUAGGUUUUAGGGUUUAGAGUUGGAGAGUGGAGUUUUGGGAUAAGAUUUCAAAUUUUGAAAAAUAAAAUAAAAUUAAAUUUUUCAAAAGAUACAAUGCUAUUUUUGGUCAUUUUAGUUUUUGAAAGCUAUUUUUGUGACAUAAACUUAGAAAUGUGCUAUUUUUGAGAUUUGUCCUAUAUAAUAUUACUUUUGGUGUGUAAUAUUUAGUGUUAUGGUUCGAGAAGACAAAAAAAAGUUUGACAUCAAAACACUAAAUUUGAUGUAAUUUCUAACACCAAAUUUGGUGU
RNAcentral lists this long non-coding RNA (597 nucleotides) under Brassica napus (rape). RNAcentral's name for it is "long non-coding RNA (BNAP_LNC025207)". The record is from RNAcentral. Lineage: Eukaryota; Viridiplantae; Streptophyta; Magnoliopsida; Brassicales; Brassicaceae.